RNAcentral lists this long non-coding RNA (253 nucleotides) under Mytilus galloprovincialis (Mediterranean mussel). Lineage: Eukaryota; Metazoa; Mollusca; Bivalvia; Mytilida; Mytilidae. The record is from RNAcentral.
AGAGGGUAAAAUCUCUGAAACAACCAUCUUAUCUAAGCUUAAAUAUAAACAAAAUUGGAUAAACCAAAUAUAUAUGUUAAAAAAGGCUAUUCCAAUGAAUUGGAAAUUAAUUCUUUGUACUGAAGAAUCCAUCAAAACUAAAGUUAAAGUUGUUAACGACUUAAAAAUUAGGUACACAACAAUAACUCCAUUAACGAGCACUAGAGAACUUUAUAAAAUGUUCAAACUAAAAGAAAAUCAUGAAAAACCGAAC